ACUUCUCGCUGAGUUCUAGGGUUUCCUCGCCAUCGUGCACUUCCGCGCACCCGCAGGCCACCUCGACUUUGUUUCCUCCUCUCGUCGACUCCCCCAUAUGUCGCUCCUCUCCUUCACUUCCUCUCGUCCGACAAGUUCGUCGAUUUAAAGGCCAUCCCCUCUCUAGCAUCUAGUGAUUUGGGGGUACUUAUCUCUCUCGGAGCUCAAAACCCUAGUGAUCUGGCUCCGAUCUGAACGAUUUGGAUCUCUGAAUUACUUAUUCGUUAAAUACCUGAUCAUGGAUAAUGGGGAAAUUGAGAGCACAGAUGAGGAGAUGCCUGCACAUACGGGACGGCAGUAUAGUCUGGUGACAUUGCAUGAUCGACCAGUUAUCGAAAUUUCUUCACUGGAGGCUGGAACUUCUUCAGAAACUUCACUGAAGAAUGUUAAAGAGAGGUCUAAUCUAGAAAGUACUGCCAAUAGAAUGGAGUCUCAUACUCAUGGUGGACCUGGUGGAUCUCAAACAGAAUCAAAAUUGGAGCUGUUUGGUUUUGAUUCACUUGUCAAUAUAUUAGGCCUUAAAAGGAAACUGGUCCAAAGAUGGGGACUAUGAUGGGUGUGUUUGUACCAUGCUUGCAGAAUAUUUUGGGUAUUAUCUACUAUAUCCGUUUUUCUUGAGUUGGAUAUACACAAACCCACUUGCUAUGAUUUGUUGGAGCUGACAAAAACAUGCAAGCAGAAAUGUGUCAACCUCUUCAAAAUAGGAGACCAUUUGAGGAAAAUUGAUGGUGGCUGAAACAGGUUAAUCCAUGCGUGCUUUUCACUUACUGUGAGAUUAGCUCUAUCCAGACAAUUUACAAAUUAUGUAUACCAAUGGAUACCUUUAAACAGAAGACACUUUUUGUUUUAAUGAAAGAGGAAUUUUAGUCAUGUACUUUGGACAAAAGAAAAAACUUGUACUAAAGUCAUUGUAAUGAUACAAUGAAUUGUUCCUUAUGUUUGGUUGUUAAUUUGCUUUCAAAAUUUGGAGUUUCAUUUC
Asparagus officinalis (garden asparagus) is the source of this 1018-nucleotide long non-coding RNA. RefSeq lists it as uncharacterized. The record is from RefSeq and is a predicted model, not a curated record. The transcript has 6 exons. Lineage: Eukaryota; Viridiplantae; Streptophyta; Magnoliopsida; Asparagales; Asparagaceae.